RNAcentral lists this ribosomal RNA (1096 nucleotides) under Hymenocephalus italicus (glasshead grenadier). RNAcentral describes it as "partial 16S ribosomal RNA". It matches the Rfam family "Bacterial large subunit ribosomal RNA", at positions 792 to 2519 of the family's 2925-position model. The record is from RNAcentral. Lineage: Eukaryota; Metazoa; Chordata; Actinopteri; Gadiformes; Macrouridae.
CAAAAGAGUGGGAAGAGCUUCGAGUAGAGGUGACAAAUCUACCGAGCCCAGUAAUAGCUGGUUGCCUGAGAAACGAAUAGAAGUUCAGCCCUCUGAUCUUUCCCCCCUCACUCUUUUCGAAGAACAAAGGAAGACAUAGGAGUUAGUCAAAAGGGGGACAGCCCUUUUAACCUAAGAUACAACUUUAGCAGAUGAAAUAAGAUCAUAAUAAUCAAGGACCAAGACCUGAGUGGGCUUAAAAGCAGCCAUCUCAAAAGAAAGCGUUAAAGCUCUGACUACCCUCCCUUCUUUAAAUUCUGAUAUCUAAUCUUUUCCCCUGCCCCUUAUCAGGCUGUCUUAUGCCCCCAUAAGAUCAACAAUGCUAAAAUGAGUAAUAAGAAGAAACACUCUUCUCCACGCAUAUGUGUAACUCGGAUCGGACCUCCCACCGACUUCUACGCGACCCCAAGCCCAGAGGGUAAAUAAGCUAAAACCACAAGAAAACCGCUUAACAAAAAUCGUUAACCCCACACAGGUAUGCACCAAGGAAAGACUAAAAGAGAAGGAAGGAACUCGGCAAACCCGGGCCUCGCCUGUUUACCAAAAACAUCGCCUCUUGACGCACUAACCCUGCUUAAUAUAAGAGGUCUCGCCUGCCCACUGACUAUAAGUUAAAGGGCCGUGGUAUCUUAACCACGCAAAGGUAGCGUAAUCAUUUGUCUUUUAAAUGUAGACCUGUAUGAAUGGCAAAACGAGGGCCCAACUGUCUCCCUCCUCUAGUCAAUGAAAUUGACCUCCCCGUGCAGAGGCGGGGAUAAAACUAUAAGACGAGAAGACCCUGUGGAGCUUUAGACCUAAAAUAAUCUACUGAGUAAGCUUAAAAACAAGCCAAACCCCCAGUGAACGCUAUUGAAAUGUCUUUGGUUGGGGUGACCCUGGGGAACAACAUAACCCCCAUGAAGAUAGGAUAAAUUUAACUUCCAACACCCAGAGCCACCACUCCAAGUAACAAAAUCUUUGACUUUAAAAUGAUCCGGCAAUUGCCGAGUAACGAACCCAGUUACCCCAGGGAUAACAGCGCAAUCCCCUUACAGAGCCCUUAUCGACAAGGGGGUUU